UUGCCAUUUAUAAAGAAUUUUGUUUUCUAACUUGUUAAAAUUAACAUUUUUUUUAAUUUAUUUAUUUUAUGUAUAUGAGUAUACUAUAGCUGUCUUCACACACACCCAGAAGAGGGCAUCGGAUUCCAUUAUAGAUCAUUGUGAGCCAUCAUGUGGUUGCUUGGAAUUGAACUCAGGACAUUUGGAAGAGCAGCCAGUGCUCUUAACCCCUGAGCUAUCUCUCCAGCCCUAUUAUUAAUAUUUUUUAAUAUAGACUAUUAUGAGCCAAGUUUAUUUCCCAUCUACUUUUUCUAUUAAAAUACUAAGUUUUAUACUUUCUAUCUACAAAAUAUUUCUUCCAUUCUUUUUUGUGGAAAAGUUUAAGAUUACUUAGUUGUUUAAUGAUCAAAUAUUUUACAAUAGUCUAAAAGAGCCUGAUCUGAACUGUUCUCAGUACAGUUACUCUACGUCUCAGCUAAGAGUCUGCUUGUUCCAACUCUACAUAAACAAUUUUAAAUACCUUUUAUUCCAGACUUCUCUUACUUAAUUCCCACUGUAUUCUAAUUUCAGUGUAACUUAAUUUAUUUUAAGAGGUCUAGAAAUAUAGAAAUUUAUUUUAAGAGAUCUAAAAUAACCUAGAUUAAGAGAUCUAUUCUAAGAGUUUAGAAAACGAGAGACAUAAAUAUAAGCUUUCUACAAGAGAAGAAAUGUAACUUUCACUUCCUUCCAUAUGCUUGGUUAAUUGUUCACCUUAGAUUGUGUUUCAUGAGACCACACUAUUAUCCUAUGUACACAACAGAGUCUAAUGCAGAAUAGUUAGACUGGAUUUAACCUUAUCUUUGCAUAAUGACUUGACAUAAUCUAAGCUCCACCACAUGAACUAAUCAAAAUUGUAUAAUAUCUCUUUAAUUUUUGACCAUUGGAUGACUUUACAGUAUGAUAGUAAUUAAACUGCAGGAUCAGAGUUUAGAUAUAGGUCAUUAAGAAAGUCUUACAGCCACUGUUAAACACAAGUGGACAGAGGGCACUUGGGGCAGAAAUGAGGAGAUUGUUGUGAUUGUCUUGUAUCCAGGAUGAAAGCUUUGUACAAAGAGUGUUCAACAUCAUAGGCUAUAGAUCUUCCAUUUGUUCAGUGUAGGACUGUUCUGAUAGAACUAGUUAGGUAAAUGUUUCCAUGUACUAAGCUCACUGUUGAUAGACUAUCAAUUCAAAUACGUAUAUGAGUGACUUUCAAAAAUACGUCAGAAUUUAAAAUGGAUUGCCAAAAUCUUCUCUUUCGGAUUCUUCAAUGUUAAAGCGCAUAUUCCUGAUGAUAACUAUUUGAAUAAAGAUAAUAGUUCUCAAUUAGUAGAGAUUAAUAGAAGCUUAAUUUUAAUUAAAGUAGAAUUUGGUGAUAUACCGUAUUUUCAAAAACAAACCUGCAUAAAACAGUAGUAGAGAGUGCUUUUAAUAUUCCUUUCCUCGUGUUGUAUGUUUGCCCUUGUAUUGCUUUUUGUUAAUGUAGAAAGUGACAUUUUGUUCAUCCAUUUAAUUUGUAGUUUUCACAUAGACAAGAGAAAAAACAUACAUAUGUAUUCUGAAGUGUCUAACCUAUUUUAAGGUGUCAUCUCGGUAUUUUGAAUGUGUAUCUUAGAAGGGGAAUAUCAGACAUAAUAAUAGUAUACUAUUAUUUGGUAUAUCCAGUGGCCUAGCCACUAAUAUGGGUACUUUUCAAAUGAGUCUAUGACCAAACUUUGGAAUGAUGUUUUGUUUUAGGGGGGAGCAGGAUGUUAAUGUAGUUCAGGCCUUGAUUUUGCAGUGUGGCCAAGGCUGAUCUUGAAUUCUCCCUUCCAAAGCAUUGGGAUUAUAGGAGUGUGCCACCAUUCGCAGCCUUCUGGUAAUUUCUUUUCUUGAGAUUUCAUUAUGAUUUUUUUUUUUUUGGUUUGGGUGGGUAGGGAAUGUCCUUUGUGAAAAUAAAGUAGUAGAUAUAUAUC
Molecule: long non-coding RNA, 1952 nt
Filed under: Mus musculus (house mouse)
Lineage: Eukaryota; Metazoa; Chordata; Mammalia; Rodentia; Muridae
Description: long non-coding RNA chr2:83665495-83667447
Source: RNAcentral